AGCCAUGUAGUAAGCAUAAAGCGAACUAUUCUUUCGCCUUUUACUAAAGAAUACCAUGUGCUUACUAUUAAUAAUGGCUUACGUUUAUUAUCAACAACACUAGUAUACUUUUAUU
This is a small nuclear RNA of Hevea brasiliensis (rubber tree), 115 nucleotides long. RefSeq annotates it as U5 spliceosomal RNA. The transcript has a single exon. The record is from RefSeq and is a predicted model, not a curated record. NCBI's taxonomy places the organism in Eukaryota, Viridiplantae, Streptophyta, Magnoliopsida, Malpighiales, Euphorbiaceae.